This is a long non-coding RNA of Oryctolagus cuniculus (rabbit), 2128 nucleotides long. The record is from Ensembl. Lineage: Eukaryota; Metazoa; Chordata; Mammalia; Lagomorpha; Leporidae.
AAAAGCUUUGUAAAAUCAGAAGAACAGAGACUGCUCUACUCUGAAUGCCUAAGGAUUGAUUUGUUUUACUUGAAAGUCAGAGUUACAGAGAGAGAGAGAGAGAGAGAGAGAGCGAGCUUCCAUCCACUGGUUCACCCAUAAGUUGGCUGCAAUGGCCAGAGCUGCGCCCAUCCGAAGCCAGGAAUCUGGAGCUUCCUUCAGGUCUCCCAUGUGGGUGCAGGGGCACAAGGACUUGGGCCAUCUUCCACUGCUUUCCCAGGCUGUAGCAGAGAGCUGGAUUGGAAGUGGGGCAGCUGGGUCUCGAACCUGCGCUCAUACGGGAUGCCGGCACCACAGGCGAUGGCUUUACCCACUGUGCCACAGCGCUCGCCCCAUCCUGGACAGUUUUAACCCAACAGCGGUGGACAGUUUCCAGCAGGUUCUUUCCUGGGUUUCUCGGUCAGUGCCCCCUUCCUAAUGAGCUGAUUAAACCUAAACUGAGUUAAACAGGAGCCGGAGCUGUGGCUUUCUGAACUGAAUAUGGAGUCUCUUUCUGACCCAAAAGAGAGGGGAGCUGGGGGCGGAGAGGAGGGCAAGGGUCAAGAGCAGCGAUCUGGCCAGCCAUGUGUGUACUAACUUCCCCCUGCUUGGUGAGACUAAAGCAAGUGGAAACCAGUCCUUGGAUGGAUAUGGGGACAUGUAACAAACAACCGGACUUCAAAGCCUUAUCCAAGAUACUGAUAACUGUUCCGUGAAGAGAGGACCGGAUCUGAGCCCGCAUGGGCUCCCUCCAAGGCUGGCAGCCGCUCACGAAUUUUCUGAAGAGCAACAGAAAUUUACUUUGGGCACCAGGUGCAUCUAUACAGAGGUACAUCGUCGGCAGUCCAGACCUGCCACCGGCCCAGGUUACCAAAGGACCAUCUUCUUACCACCACUCCCAGCUGCCCGCUGCCCUGGCCUUGCUCUGCAGCUCAUGGAGCCAUCUGAGGUCACAAACGCGACCAGUGGAGGAAGGAAUUGCUCAAUGGCGCCAUUCCCAGCAUGAGACCAAGUAUGGGAAAUUAAAUAUGGAUGGUGCGGCUCGCUCUGGCCUCAGAAGCCGCUCUAUGGACUAUGGAUGAUUUCCACGGUUUCCCGAAGCUGCCCACUCUGGUCAUGUGACAUCUGAUGCCCUCCUGGAGGGGAGUGGCCCAGGGUUUCUUAGUUCCUUCCACAACUUACAAGGCUGCCCUUGGAGUAGCCUCCCAGCGACCUGCCUCUCCCUUCUCACCAGCCUUGAUUGUUGUCUGGGUCGUUUCAUACAUAAUUAGCUUCCUUCAAGUUUCCAGAUGGCAUCGUGACAGCGGCUGGCUUUUUGUUUCACUUCCACUCUCCUUUCCACUGGUCCCGGAGCUGCUUGAUCUGGUGUAAAGAUCUGAUAUAAGGGCAUUUCAGAAAGUUUGGAAGAAAUGGAUUUAAAUGAUGUGUUAAAAUUUUCAGAACCCACACACUGUUAGAGUACGCAUUUCCUGUGAACUUUUUUUUUUUUUUUUUGACAGGCAGAGUGGACAGUGAGAGAAAGACAGAGAGAAAGGUCUUCCUUUGCCGUUGGUUCACCCUCCAAUGGCCACUGCGCUGAUCCGAUGGCAGGAGCCAGGUGCUUCUCCUGGUCUCCCAUGGGGUGCAGGGCCCAAGCACUUGGGCCAUCCUCCACUGCACUCCCUGGGCCACAGCAGACAGCUGGCCUGGAAGAGGAGCAACCGGGACAGAAUCCGGCGCCCCGACCGGGACUAGAACCCAGCGUGCCGGCGCCGCAAGGCGGAGGAUUAGCCUAGUGAGCCGCGGCGCCGGCCCUGUGAGUGUCUUUUCAAAGACACUUUCCCCAGCACUGUUCUGUCUGGCUCAAGGGAUUACAUUACAUCCCGGAGAUGCAGUGAACAUCCAGCAGCCUUAGAAAAGAGUGAGACGUGCGAGACCCGGAGGAAGCUUCUGGCUCCUGGCUUUGGAUCAGCGCAGCUCCAGCCGUUGUGGCCACCUGGGGGGUGAACCAGCGGAUGGAAGACCUCUCUCUCUCUCUCUCUCUCUCUCUCUCUGUGUAUACCUCUCUCUGUAACUCUGUCUUUCAAAUAAGUGAAAUAAAUCUUAAAAAAAAAAGAGUGAGAACGCUUAA